This 461-nucleotide ribosomal RNA is filed under the name uncultured bacterium. Its description in RNAcentral is "partial 16S ribosomal RNA". It matches the Rfam family "Bacterial small subunit ribosomal RNA", at positions 338 to 795 of the family's 1533-position model. The record is from RNAcentral.
CCUACGGGUGGCAGCAGUGAGGAAUAUUGGUCAAUGGGCGGAAGCCUGAACCAGCCAAGUCGCGUGAGGGAUUAAGGCCCUAUGGGUCGUAAACCUCUUUUGUCAGGGAGCAAGGUCGUCCACGUGUGGGCGUAUGGAGAGUACCUGAAGAAAAAGCAUCGGCUAACUCCGUGCCAGCAGCCGCGGUAAUACGGAGGAUGCGAGCGUUAUCCGGAUUUAUUGGGUUUAAAGGGAGCGUAGGCCGGUCUUUAAGCGUGCCGUGAAAUUUUGUGGCUCAACCAUGAGAGUGCGGCGCGAACUGGAGACCUUGAGUGCGCGGAAGGCAGGCGGAAUUCGUGGUGUAGCGGUGAAAUGCUUAGAUAUCACGAAGAACCCCGAUUGCGAAGGCAGCCUGCCGCAGCGUUACUGACGCUGAAGCUCGAAAGCGCGGGUAUCGAACAGGAUUAGAUAUCCGUGUAGUC